Bos taurus (domestic cattle) is the source of this 4275-nucleotide long non-coding RNA. The record is from Ensembl. Lineage: Eukaryota; Metazoa; Chordata; Mammalia; Artiodactyla; Bovidae.
AACAUACAGACAGCUCAAGCAGCUCAAUAUCAAAAAACAAAAAUACCCAAUAGGAAAUGGGACAAAGAUCUCAAUGGACAUUUCAUGAAGAAGGCAUACACAUGGCCAUUAAGCACUUGAAAAGGUGUUCAGCAUCACUCAUGGUUAGAGGAAGACCAUUCAAAAGUCCAGUGAGCUAUCACCUCACCCCAGUCAGAAUGGCCAUCUCAGAGAAUCCCCAGCAAUACAUGUUGCAGAGGAUGUGGAGAGAAGGGAACUCCGCUGCACUCUUGGUGGGAAUGUAAAUCGGUCUAUCCAUUAGGCAAAGAGUAUGAAGGUUCUUUUAAAAUACUAAACGUAGUGUUGUAGCCCCACGUUCCGGGAAACAAACUCACGCAGAAGGACAGUGCAGAUAGUGCAGUGCAGUUGAUUACACCCGCGGGCCCAAGGCAGAGUCUCCUGUUAGCCAAGGACGCCGACCGGUUUUUGUGAAAACAUUGUAUACCCUAAGUGUAUACGGUUCCCUGAAACUAAUCUCAACAAAGGAAAAAGAAAGAUACAAAGUUAAGCCAUGCUUCAUAUGCCUUAAGCCUAGGUAAUUAACAGUGGACAAUUAUCAACAGGCCUGCGGUCAUACCAAAACAAGCAUUAUAGAACGUAUGGUUCUCUUCAGUUACACAGAUAAUUAGGGGAAUCUUUUAGGCAUGGAGAGUCUAGAUCCAAGCCCUGAGGCUCUUCCUUCUGGGAGCCUGGUUUUCCAGCUGGUGUGUUGUUUCCACAGAUACUGGGCUCAAAGUCCAUAGUCUGGCCCAAGAUGGAGUCCUGCUUUCAAGAUAGAGCCGUUUCUGUAACCUCCUUCAAUACAAGUACCAUAGGAUCCAGCAGUCCCACACCUGGGUGUGCUGCUGCUAAGUCGCUUCAGUCGUGUCCGACUCGGUGCGACCCCAUAGACGGCAGCCCACCAGGCUCCCCUGGCCCUGGGAUUCUCCAGGCAAGACAACUGGAGUGGGUUUCCAUUUCCUCCUCCAAUGCAUGAAAGUGAAAAGUCAAAGUAAAGUCGCUCAGUCGUGUCCGACUCUUAGGGACCCCAUGGACUGCAGCCCACCAGGCUCCUCGGUCCAUGGGAUUCUCCAGGCAAGAGCACUGGAGUGGGGUGCCAUUGCUAGGUACAGAGAAAACCAAAAUUUGAAAAGACGCCUGCAGCCCUGUGGUCACAGCUGCACUAGGACCAUCAACAGGACACGGCAGCAAUCUAAGAGCAGGACACAGGUGAAUGGAUACAGAAGAGGGUACCUAGACAUAAUCCAGUAUUAUCCAGCCAUUAAAAGGAUCAAGUAACAACAUUUCCAGCCACAGGGAGGAAAGUAGAAGUGAUCAUUCUAAGUGAACUAGGGGAGACAGGGAAAGACAAGAAUCGUAUGGCAUCACUUCUAGGUGGAAUCUAAAAAUGGAGACGUGUGAACUUCUUUACCAAAGAGAAAUGGCCUCACAAACAUAUGGUUCCCUAGAAGAAACUUACGGUUCCCCAGGAGGAAAAGACGAGGGCAGGGAGAAAUGAGCUGGUUCAGAUUGACGUACACACACUACUCUUUAUAAAAUCAUCCACAAGGACCCACUGCACAGCACAUGGAACCCUCCUCAACACUCCGUAAUAACUUAUAUGGGAAGAGAACCUGAAAAAGAACAUAUAUAUGUCUAGCUAUACAUGAAUCAAGCACCUGGAAAGACAUCCCCCCUCACUCAUUUCUGUGCUCAGUUGCUCAGUUGUGUCCGGCUUUUCGCAACCCCACGGACUGCAGCCUGCUAGUCUCUGCUGUCCAUGAAAUUUUCCAGGAAAGAAUUCUGGUUGGGUUCCCCUUUCCUUCUCUAGGGCAUCUUCCCGGCUCAGGGAUCAAUUCUGAAUCUCUUGCAUCUCCUGCACUGCAGGCAGAUUCUUUGCUGCUGAGCCGCACCAGGGAAGACCCACUCAUUAUUAAAUCAAUGGUGAUCAAAUCUACACUGACGAAUCCCCUCCCACCAGUCAGAAGGGCCAUCGUCAGAAAGCUCUCCAAAGAAUAAAUGCUGCAGAGGGCGUAGGGAAAAUGGAACCCUCCCGCACUCUGAGUGGGGUGCAACAGGGUGCGGCCCCAAUGGAAAACCGCAUGGAGGGUCCUGAGGAGACAGAGGAGCCACGGGACCCAGCGACCCCACUUCCGGGCUCAGACCUGGAGAACAUCACGAUUUGAAAUGAUACGUGCACCCCUGUUUUCAGAGAAGCACUAUUUACAACAGCCAAGACAGAGUCCACCAAAAUGUCCAACGACAGCAACGUGAAGACUGAGUGUUCCGUCUAUACACUGGACUCUAUACACAUCUAUACAGUUCACCCCUGGGCUCUGGGGUGCAGUCAGGAUGGGAGAAUGUGGCCUCUGACCAGCAGCUGGUGGGAAGAAGGGAGAUCAGCCCUGAGGUUAGGUGUUCCCUGAAGUCUGUGGGCCCCAGUGCCCUGAUGGCCUUCAUCCCCAGUGGGGACGUGGGCAGGGCCUGAGCCACUUUGAUGAAGCCACAGCAGCAAUGGGCUCAGAAGUCUCCUGAGGGUGUCUCAAACUCUGACACCAUGUUUUACAGAGGAACAGGAGAAUGAAGCUGACCUCCUGACAGCGUCCUUCCAGCUCUGAGUUGUUUCCAAAAGACCACCAUCACCUGCGUGGGGUCGGCCAUGAGCCACCUGCCCCCUCCUGCCUUUCCUCUUCCUCCUGGUGACAAUUCCAGUGACGUUUCCUGGCUGGUCCCCUCGCCCAGCCCAGAUGCGUCUGUCCAUCCACUGCCGCUCACCUCACCCUGGGGACUAACGGGCCCCUCGAGGACUGCACUCCUGCUGCUCCCCAUGCCCAGGAGGCAGCCCCACCUUCUUCUCCAGGCACUAAAAGCCCCACUGAGUGGAAGAAGUUACCUACUAGAUGAGCAUGAACGUCACCCCAGAGCGUCCAGUUGUCAGGGAGUGUUUAGCAGGAAGAUUCCUACACGCUGUUUCUCACAGGUCCUCUGUUUCUUUUCAAGCAGAGCGGCAUGCUGUUCCCAGGAACCAGGGUCAUCGUGUGAGACAGGCCUGAGUCUCCUUCAGUAAACAUUCUCUUUACGACAAAACUGCUUAGUCUCAAUUCCCUUUCCUGAGAUAUGGAUGUUCUUCUGACCUUGUGGCAAUUUUUAAUCCCUUGUUCCCUUGGUUACGGUUGUUAUACACUUGGUUUUCUGAUCUUUAUCAUAGUCAUAAGAAACUUCUUGUACCACAGCUUAUAUAUACUCACAGAAAAUUCAUUAAAGCACCUCUGCUCCAUCAGAGCUUGGGUCCCCGUGUCUUUCUUUCUCUCUUUCUUUCUCUCAUUCUCUUUCUCUCUCUCUCUUAGGCUGAUUCCUUGGAGUGCAGAGACCCGUCUUGCUCACUCUGCUGCCCGGGCUUCUAAGACUCUCUCGAGAAGGCGCCAGGUGCCUUCAUGAGACAUGCAAGUCCUCUAUCAAGGACUUUAUUGGUUUUCUGCAUAAACCAGAGAGUAUCAGCUUCUUUCUCUCUUUCACUUUCUUAUCAUCGCCUCCGGACCACCAGGUCCCGGUCCAUUAAAGGACCCCAACAUCCAGUGCCUGAGGAUUUGUGAGACAGGAUGGAGUGACUGCUUUCACGGGCCCCGUGGUGGAAGAGCUCACUUUCUGAUGAAGCCAGACCUUGAUCCUCUCCAGGGGACAAAAGAAGAGGGACAGACACAGAGGACAAGCCGCAUGAAGAUGAAGGCAGAGACGGGCGGGAGGGGCCGCAAGCCCAGGAACCCCUGGAGCCCCUGAAGCUGGAAAAGGCAGGAAGGACCCUAUCCUGGAGCCUCUGGAGGGACCUCAGCCUUGCGCCACCUUGAUCUCAGGUGUCUGGUCUCCAGGACUGGGGGAGGAUGAACUCCUGUUGUUUUAAACCACCCGGCUUGUGAUCAUUUGUUGGGCCACAGAGCAGCCACACAGACCCUGCUCUGUAGGAUCCUAGAAGUGUGGGUCUCAGUAAAGGCAGAUCAGGGUGCUUUACGGAACCCCUGGAGUCAGCACUGGGACCCCAGAAUGUUGAGGGGUCGAGUCUGAAACCUGUCCCUAGGGCUGCACACGCCUCCCCAGGUUCUUACACCUGAACAGGUGGUGUAGCAUCUCAGUCCUGACUGAGGACUCUGUUAAUUUCACCAGUUACACAGGUGAAAACCCAGUUAGGAUACUUGCCACACUGAUGAUCAAUUCUGAAGAUGGUCAGGGGUGGGGACUCACAUGCAGCCAGCAGCCCUUCAC